CCUACGGGAGGCAGCAGUGAGGAAUAUUGGUCAAUGGGCGAGAGCCGGAACCAGCCAAGUCGCGUGAGGGAAGACGGUCCUAUGGAUUGUAAAACUCGUUUGUCGGGGAGCAAAAAGGCCUCGUGAGGCCACAAGUGAGAGUACCCGAAGAAAAAGCAUCGGCUAACUCCGUGCCAGCAGCCGCGGUAAUACGGAGGAUCCGAGCGUUAUCCGGAUUUCUUGGGUUUAAAGGGAGCGUAGGUGGAUUGUUAAGUCAGUUGUGAAAGUUUGUGGCUCAACCGUAAAAUUGCAGUUGAAACUGGCAGUGUUGAGUACAGUAGAGGUGGGCUGAAUUCGUGGUGUAGCGGUGAAAUGCUUAGAUAUCACGAAGAACUCCGAUUGCGAAGGCAGUUCACUGGACUGCAACUGACACUGAGGCUCGAAAGUGUGGGUAUCAAACAGGAUUAGAUACCCGUGUAGUC
Molecule: ribosomal RNA, 461 nt
Filed under: uncultured bacterium
Lineage: Bacteria
Description: partial 16S ribosomal RNA
Rfam family: Bacterial small subunit ribosomal RNA
Source: RNAcentral